UCCUUGAUAGCUUAAUGGUAAAAGCGGUUGGUUGUUAACCAAUGUAUUGUAAGUUCAAGUCUUACUUAAGGAG
RNAcentral lists this transfer RNA (73 nucleotides) under Thorea hispida. RNAcentral describes it as "tRNA-Asn". It matches the Rfam family "tRNA". Rfam says of the family: Transfer RNA (tRNA) molecules are approximately 80 nucleotides in length. Lineage: Eukaryota; Rhodophyta; Florideophyceae; Thoreales; Thoreaceae. The record is from RNAcentral. RNAcentral also lists the same sequence under 1 other name.